GAUGAACGCUAGCUACAGGCUUAACACAUGCAAGUCGAGGGGAAACGAUAUUGGAAGCUUGCUUCCGAUAGGCGUCGACCGGCGCACGGGUGAGUAACGCGUAUCCAACCUGCCCAUCACUUGGGAAUAACCUUGCGAAAGUAAGACUAAUGCCCAAUGACAUUUAUAGAAGGCAUCUGAAAUGAAUUAAAGAUUUAUCGGUGAUGGAUGGGGAUGCGUCUGAUUAGCUUGUUGGCGGGGUAACGGCCCACCAAGGCGACGAUCAGUAGGGGUUCUGAGAGGAAGGUCCCCCCACAUUGGAACUGAGACACGGUCCAAACUCCUACGGGAGGCAGCAGUGAGGAAUAUUGGUCAAUGGGCGAGAGCCUGAACCAGCCAAGUAGCGUGCAGGAUGACGGCCCUAUGGGUUGUAAACUGCUUUUAUAAGGGAAUAAAGUGAGUCUCGUGAGACUUUUUGCAUGUACCUUAUGAAUAAGGACCGGCUAAUUCCGUGCCAGCAG
Molecule: ribosomal RNA, 500 nt
Filed under: uncultured bacterium
Lineage: Bacteria
Description: bacterial SSU rRNA
Rfam family: Bacterial small subunit ribosomal RNA
Source: RNAcentral